RNAcentral lists this ribosomal RNA (250 nucleotides) under uncultured bacterium. RNAcentral describes it as "partial 16S ribosomal RNA". It matches the Rfam family "Bacterial small subunit ribosomal RNA", at positions 524 to 773 of the family's 1533-position model. The record is from RNAcentral.
GACGUAGGGUGCAAGCGUUGUCCGGAGUUACUGGGCGUAAAGGGCGCGUAGGCGGUUAUCCGCGUCGCACGUGAAAGCCCCCGGCUCAACCGGGGAGGGUCGUGCGAGACGGGGUAACUGGAGGCAGGGAGAGGCUGGUGGAAUUCCCGGUGUAGUGGUGAAAUGCGUAGAUACCGGGAGGAACACCUGAGGCGAAGGCGGCCAGCUGGCCCUGUCCUGACGCUGAGGCGCGAAGGCUCGGGGAGCGAAC